UAAUACGGAGGGUGCAAGCGUUAAUCGGAAUUACUGGGCGUAAAGCGCGCGUAGGUGGUUAGGUAAGUCAGAUGUGAAAGCCCCGGGCUUAACCUGGGAACUGCAUUUGAUACUGCCUGGCUAGAGUAUGGUAGAGGGGGGUGGAAUUCCCGGAGUAGCGGUGAAAUGCGUAGAUAUCGGGAGGAACACCAGUGGCGAAGGCGGCCCCCUGGACCAAUACUGACGCUGAGGUGCGAAAGCGUGGGGAGCAAACAGG
This 256-nucleotide ribosomal RNA is filed under the name uncultured bacterium. RNAcentral's name for it is "partial 16S ribosomal RNA". It matches the Rfam family "Bacterial small subunit ribosomal RNA", at positions 521 to 776 of the family's 1533-position model. The record is from RNAcentral.